CAAAGAUCCUAGAGGGACAAGAUAGACCACUCCUCGAAAAACGCGUAGUAUGACGUGUGUGACCGUCGACGCCAUAUUGUUAAGCAUUUAUUGGGCUGUAAUGGCGUCCUCAGCUAAAUCUACAUCUCACUGCUCCGCUAUCAACUGUUCUAAUCGUAAAUCUAAACGACCAGAGCUGUCAUUCUUUAGGUUCCCCAAUAAAAAAGAAAGAUGUCGACAUUGGACAUGAUCUACACCGAACUGCGGAGUAUUUGUGAAAUAACUGCCCUCUUAUGUACAUUGUGUGAAAUUGUGAUUUGCUAACUGCACAAAUAUAAUGCGAAUGGCGAUUUAUUUAUUAUUGUAUCUAUGUUGGACAUUUUGCUGUUUGGUGAAGCAGGGGUGGGGCUAUCAUUGUGUUACAUACGUUAAAUUGUACAUCACUUUCACUGGUUAGCUGAUAUGCUGAACUGCAACCCUGUAUAACUCGCGCACAGAAUAAUGUGAAUUGUGUAAAUCUUAUCCCAACGGGUCUCACUUAGUCUAUUGAUUGUGUAUAAGCUGCAAAUUUUGUCCUUUGUUUGAAAUGUGUAGAAUGUGACAUCACUUUUAUUGAUUAUCUGAUAUUCUAAAUUCUGCAAAUUCUGCAAGUCUGUAUAUGUCGUGCACAAAAUGAUGUAAAUAAAAAUUGUUUU
Long non-coding RNA from Leucoraja erinaceus (little skate), 674 nucleotides. RefSeq lists it as uncharacterized. The record is from RefSeq and is a predicted model, not a curated record. NCBI's taxonomy places the organism in Eukaryota, Metazoa, Chordata, Chondrichthyes, Rajiformes, Rajidae. The transcript is spliced from 2 exons.